UACGGGGGGGGGCAAGCGUUGUUCGGAAUUACUGGGCGUAAAGGGCUCGUAGGCGGCCAACUAAGUCAGACGUGAAAUCCCUCGGCUUAACCGGGGAACUGCGUCUGAUACUGGUUGGCUUGAAUCCGGGAGAGGGAUGUGGAAUUCCAGGUGUAGCGGUGAAAUGCGUAGAUAUCUGGAGGAACACCGGUGGCGAAGGCGGCUCACUGGUCCAUUACUGACGCUGAGGUGCGAAAGCGUGGGGAGCAAACAGG
This 254-nucleotide ribosomal RNA is filed under the name uncultured bacterium. Its description in RNAcentral is "partial 16S ribosomal RNA". It matches the Rfam family "Bacterial small subunit ribosomal RNA", at positions 524 to 776 of the family's 1533-position model. The record is from RNAcentral.